RNAcentral lists this ribosomal RNA (253 nucleotides) under uncultured bacterium. RNAcentral describes it as "partial 16S ribosomal RNA". It matches the Rfam family "Bacterial small subunit ribosomal RNA", at positions 524 to 776 of the family's 1533-position model. The record is from RNAcentral.
AACGUAGGACGCAAGCGUUAUCCGGAGUUACUGGGCGUAAAGCGCGCGUAGGCGGACCUGCAAGUCGGGGGUGAAAGCCCGAGGCUCAACCUCGGAACUGCCUUCGAUACUGCGGGUCUCGAGUCCGGGAGAGGUGAGUGGAAUUCCUAGUGUAGAGGUGAAAUUCGUAGAUAUCAGGAGGAACACCGGUGGCGAAGGCGGAUCUCUGGGCCUGUCCUGACGCUGAGGCGCGAGAGCUAGGGGAGCGAACAGG